This is a long non-coding RNA of Chenopodium quinoa (quinoa), 1435 nucleotides long. RefSeq lists it as uncharacterized. Lineage: Eukaryota; Viridiplantae; Streptophyta; Magnoliopsida; Caryophyllales; Amaranthaceae. The transcript is spliced from 2 exons. The record is from RefSeq and is a predicted model, not a curated record.
AUUAUAUAUUCGGGUGGAUGGCAAGUGAUAAACGGAUGACAGAUCGAGUGAUGGAUGAAACGGAGCACCACCCGUAUCCGACCCGAUUUGUCACCCGCUUCAUCUGUCACCCGCCCUUCAUCCAUUUAAUUAUAUCGGGUGGAUCGAAUUUGCGGAUGUCCAUUUAGAAUUGCCAUCCCUAGGGACGUCCGCUAAAAAUAAUCCCACCUUUAGGUUAUUUUUAAAUAAUCCGAGCUUUAUACUCAAUCCACUCAAAAUGGUCCCAACUGGUCAUGUAACUUGUUUUAACAAUUUACUUGACACGUGACGGCGUGUGAUUGGUCCAAAAAAAUAAAAAUAAAAAAAUAAUUUUCUUUAAAAAAGUUAAAUUUUAUAAAUAAAAAUUAAAAAAAAAUUAAUUAUUUUUAAACCACCCCUGGCUGGUGGCUACCUAAGCCACUCUCCAGUCCCGCAUCCCCGACCACCCAGAUCCCAACCCCAACGCCGACGCCGACUCCAACACUGCGCCCAACCCCCCUCCCCCGAACCACCAACCAACCUCUAAUUCCCUUCCCCGUCCCACUACUAGAAAGACACUUUUAACAAACCAUCUAACAACGACGAAAUCAAAAUAAUUAUCGUUAAACUUGUUAAAAUUAAAAACUGAAUUGAAAGGCAGGCCUGUUUCAAAAUUUUAAAAAACGUAGCGGUUUAUUUUUAAAAAAAAAAAAAAAAAUUUCAUUGUCGUUAAUGGUAAACUCACUUUAUGAAUUUUACCAAACCCUUAUUAAAAUUAAGAUACACCGUAUAAACAAAACCCUUCUCAGUUCUCACAAACUGUUCCCUACUUGAUCUCACACCUCUGCCUAACUGCCAUCACGACACCACCGCUGCUACCACCAGGCCAGCCAUUGUCGUCUAACCCAAGCCAAACCCUAACGCUGCUACACCACACAAAUCGCGGAUGCCCUCUUUCUUCUCUUCAUUCUCCCAGUUUCAUUCACUCUCUUCUACACCGCCCAACUACCGGAAACCACCGUCGUCCAUACCUAGCCGCCUUCUGCCGUAGUCCUUCACUUGACAUCGGCCUAGCCACAGCCGCACGACAACCUUAUAAUUGGGAGAUAGAGGAGGGUGGUACAAGAAAAGGAAAAGGCAUGCAUCUACAAAAGUAUGGAGUUGGAGGAGCCUUGAAGCAAGAGAAGAAACUGGUGGACUUAUAUAUUUAUCAAAUUUCAUAAUUCUUCUGUUAAAAAGAGACGUCAUUUAUGAAAUGGAGUAUAUAAGGCUUCGUUAAGCUAUUUCGUUGAUACCACUCAUUGUCAAAUGUAGAUAAACCAUGUUGGUUUUCCUUGUAUUGAUUAGUUUAAUGAUCCUAUGGAUAGUGUAAUAUUUGGGUUUCACCGGACAUAGAAUGCUUAGUAAUUAUUAAUUCAAAAUUUAUUAUUCUUAUGAA